Molecule: unclassified non-coding RNA, 334 nt
Filed under: soil metagenome
Description: partial contains 5.8S ribosomal RNA, internal transcribed spacer 2, and large subunit ribosomal RNA
Rfam family: 5.8S ribosomal RNA (bases 1-120)
Source: RNAcentral
GAUGAAGAAGGUAGCGAAAUGCGAUACGUAAUGUGAAUUGCAGAAUUCAGUGAAUCAUCGAAUCUUUGAACGCACAUUGCGCCCGCCAGCACUCUGGCGGGCAUGCCUGUUCGAGCGUCAUUUCAACCAUCAAGCCCCAGGCUUGCGUUGGAGCCCUGCGGCUGCCGCAGCCUCCUAAAAGCAGUGGCGGGCUCGCUAUCACACCGAGUGCAGUAGAUUACUCUUCGCUCAGGGCGUGCAGCGGGUUCCGGCCGUGAAACCCCCUACUUUUAAAGGUUGACCUCGGAUCAGGUAGGAAUACCCGCUGAACUUAAGCAUAUCAAUAAGCGGAGGA